RNAcentral lists this small RNA (180 nucleotides) under Terrabacter sp. Its description in RNAcentral is "c-di-AMP sequence". It matches the Rfam family "c-di-AMP riboswitch aptamer (ydaO/yuaA leader)". Rfam says of the family: This family represents a conserved RNA structure found upstream of the ydaO and yuaA genes in Bacillus subtilis and related genes in other bacteria. The record is from RNAcentral. Lineage: Bacteria; Bacillati; Actinomycetota; Actinomycetes; Micrococcales; Intrasporangiaceae.
CCCGCCGGUACGCCGAGUCCUGUCCGCCGGCUGGGGCAGCAGCACAUCACACGGACAGGAGCGGGGGACCCACUUUCUGGGCCGGCUAGGACCGGUCCUUGGGGUGAAGCCGCGACACGCGGCCGGGCCACUUCUGCCCGAACCCGACAGCUCACCUCGAAGGCGUGGGAAGGAAGACCG